This is a long non-coding RNA of Balaenoptera ricei (Rice's whale), 1270 nucleotides long. RefSeq lists it as uncharacterized. The record is from RefSeq and is a predicted model, not a curated record. The transcript is spliced from 2 exons. Lineage: Eukaryota; Metazoa; Chordata; Mammalia; Artiodactyla; Balaenopteridae.
CCUGUCCAUACCUCCGUAUUUUGCAGCUCUAGAAACAGAGCUGUUUCUGAGAUUUUGAGGGGGGGAUGUCAGCUUCUGAAACCUUGUCCUGUGACAGAGUGGAGGUGGCCCCUGGGGACCUCAGACAGCUGCGGGGACGCUCUGGGUUCGUGCUGAGACCAAGAGGAGCCCCUGCAGUGCCGUCCCCACCACGGGCUCCGGAAACAGCUGCUCCCCAAACUCCGGGAGACCAGGGGGAUGGGGGCCCCUCGAGCAUCCCGACGCCCACUUGGAGGAGACAGCAGGCUGGCGGGCAGGUGGAUGCGUGAAGGGCCUCCAAGGGGGAUGCCGUUGACCCCGACCAGGAAGGAGUCCCCCGGCUCCAGGAGGUUGAACAGGGCGGCCUCCAGUGCGCAGUGCCCCGAGCCGCUGAUGGCCAGCGUGAGGGGGUUCCGGGUCUGGAACACGUACUGGAUGCCUUGCUUGAUCUCGUCCAUGAUCUGCGGGCAGUGGACAUGCAGGUCACCGCCUCCCCUGCUCCCACCCCAGGGAGGAGGCCACUCAGGGCACUGACCGCUGUGUCUCAGUGGCCUACCUGGAACAUCUCCUCGUGCAUGUGUCCUAUUGUCUGCCGCCCCCCAGCCGCCAUGACGCGGGGGGUCAGGUUAGAGGGGCCGGGCCCCAGCAGAAGCCGGCUGGGGAGGGACAGGGGCUUACUCAGGGCUUCUGGGGGGGCCACCAGCAGUGGGUGGGAGGCCAUGGUCCUCACCCAGCCCGCCGCCUUGUGCCCCAGGGCCGCACUGGCCGCGGUCAGUGCCCGGAGCAUUUCCCAGCAGGCCCUGCACUGACGAUGGGCAGCGGAGGACACGGGGGCGCCCAGGAGGCGAGCCUGGUCGAUGGGUUUCUGCUCUACCUGCUGCCUUUGGCUGUUUGUCGUUGUUACCAGACCGUUAUCAAUGCUCGUCCUGCACGUGAAGGCUUGGCAGCUGGGGUGUUGAACCCUCGGCGGGAGAGGAGGAGCCAACAAAGUCCAGUCCGUGAAAAACAGAUCUUGGCAAGCGGUCCUCUGCUCUCCAGCUGCCCCUCCCGCUCCAUCCCCGAAGGAUGCCCAGCCUGGUGCAUCUGGCUGGGCUCAGGGGGCCCCAGCGUUUUUCUUAUGGGACCAGAGCGCCAACAUUUCAGACUUGGCAGACCUACAGGCUGUGUUAAAACUACUCAGCCCUGCUGUGGUGGUGAGAAGGCGGUUACAAGGGUGUGGCUGUGUGCUAAUAAAACUUUAUUUACAAAAGAA